UCUAGGAAGAAGAAGAAUGAGAGUGUCCAAGAAUAGUAUGAAUGGGAACAUCAAGGAAAGCAUAAGCUUUCUAGAUAUACCCUCCUAACAGAGGAGAGAUCUAGUUUUGUGUUUUUCCGAUGCCUCCCAUUCAUAUUGUUCUUGGGUGCUCCUUCCCCUUCUUUUUAGCU
Triticum urartu is the source of this 170-nucleotide non-coding RNA. The record is from Rfam. Lineage: Eukaryota; Viridiplantae; Streptophyta; Magnoliopsida; Poales; Poaceae.